Mesocricetus auratus (golden hamster) is the source of this 6687-nucleotide long non-coding RNA. RefSeq lists it as uncharacterized. The record is from RefSeq and is a predicted model, not a curated record. The transcript has 3 exons. Lineage: Eukaryota; Metazoa; Chordata; Mammalia; Rodentia; Cricetidae.
UUUUCUUUUCUGCCUCAACAGUAGAGUUUCUUCUUCCUUAGAGUUUUAACAAUCAGGCUUUUCCCAAUCCAAUGUUGAUUUUCAAUCUGGGGUCCAACAUCUUGGAGGAGAUCAGGGUGACAUUGGACUCUGGACGGGAAAAGAGCCUGACCACAUCCCACACAGAAGGUGGCAAGGAGGUCUGUCAGCAUAUCCAGAGGGUCUCCUGAAGCAGAGCACAGAGCAAGGGGUUGCAGCCCAGGGCACCUGCUGCUGUGUGGACAUGUUCCCUCUCCUGUUGGCCCCAAAGGGAAGUCCAUUAUGCGGGAGGAGCCAAGAGUUGGGACCUGGGACUGCGCAGAGAAGUAUUUAGCCCAAUAGUUCAAUCUGUCCCACCUACAGGACUCUCCUUAUUGCCUGUGUAUAAAUAAAGCAGUCCUCCACUAACCAAGAGGGGAUUUGCACAUGCCCUUCAUUGAGCUCCUAAGGACUGGGACAAAGCUCCCGGUGCACUUGUCAUAAGGGUCGCCAGGGGGCAGCAGCGGCCAGUAGGCUGCUAUGAAAAACUUAUGUGCCCAGAAUCAUGAGAGCAGAGAACCUUCCCAGAGCCAUCUCUUGAGAAGAGAACUCUGACUGGGUUGAGCCAGGCACGUCAGAGGGCAGCCGAUGACUCAUUCAAGUCUCUCCAAAGGGAAUUCUGGGAUAACUGUCAUCCCUGCCGAGUAACGGACAUUGGCAGCCUCAGCCAGGACACAGGCAGGAUGGGAGGCAAUGGACGCUGGCUUGGCGCGAUCGCUGAGUGGGUCUCAACAGUGUUGUUCAGCCAUGGAAUGAUCCUGUGCCCAUCACAAGGCAGAAGAGGAAGCUGCCUGGAGAUUCCCAAGGGAGUUCAAGUCAGAUCUUGGUGCCAGGGCUUGACUUAGACAGAAUACAGUCUCACGCUCUCCAAGGAGACUUGCUGCUCACUGCUAACAGAAUUUGCCCUUUGAAAGCAAGCACGGAAGAGCCAGAGAAUGUCCACCAGGAGCAGAUUCAAGAACCACAAUAGAUCAAAGCCAAGCAUCAAAAUGAAGGCAAAGGUGAUAUUUCAUCAUCCAGUGAAGCAACUGAGGAACCUGAAGGCAGAAGUUGAACCAGAGACUGUGAAGCACGCUGCAUGUUGUCUUGCUCCACCACUGAGUAGAGCACCAUUUCAAUUAACACAGUUACAUCCUUCAUCUUAUCUUCCCUAUAACUGUUCUGAUUCACUCAUGUGCUAUCUAAGGCUAUGUCUGGGUUCUUGGACUUACUGCAACUGGGGUCUCUGUUGAUGCUCAAGAACCAUGUUGUCACUAAGGCCAUGUGGAUGCCUGGGAUUUGGUCUACUACCUGAGGUCAUUUUGGUGUCAUAUGGCCAUGCCACUGUUGGGGCCAUGUUGAUUUGAGUGGCCAGUGCUGCUACUGGAGGACAUGAUUUCCAUGCCUGAGCUGCUCUCAAGGGGUCAUAAUUGGAUCCAUUGACCUGCAGUAACCAGGAUCUUAGUUGAUAUCUGUGGUUCCUGUCUCUGCCAAACUCAGUGAGGAUGCCUGGAUUCUGGACAGCCACCAGGGGCCUAGUUCACCACAAAUUCUAAGUAUCCUUCCUCCAUUAGAAAGGGGUGGUUCAUCACAUCAAGUUCAUCCUAUUGGGUCAUGCCUGUUCUUAAUGAACCUUUCGCCUCCACCUUCUGUCACAUAGGAGUUUCAGUGGAACUUUCAUGCUCAUCUCAAAAAUAUCAUGUAUUUUCUCUGCUUAUGAAUCCAGGUAGACAAAGCUCAUUUCGUCCUCAGUUUUUGUCUGAGAAUCAAUUACAAGCAUGCUCCUUUGCACAUCUAGAUGAGCUGGCACCAUAAAAAGUUCCUUUGCAAAGAGGUUCACUCCCUGGGUCCAUCUUUUGACUGACUUCAUCCUCAGACUUUGAUUUUGCAGAAGAAGGUACUAAAUGCCUGAAGUUGGGGAUAUCCUUGUUUUUUGCUCCUUUGAGCAUGAGGUGAUUCAUGUAAAUUUGAUGGCUUCACUUUUCGCCACUGGGUGUCUUUUCGUGUCCACAAGAAGACUCCUUCUGUAAUUCACAUGUUGAAUGCAUAACUUAAAAUCUCAUCUAUGGCCCUAGGCCUUAAUUUCUCAUAUUCUCUUUUGCAUUUGCAGUGACAGUAGGGCUCUGGCGUUUUCCUCUGCCCAUCUCUUGGUCAAGAAUGUCUUUUCCUUGCCUACAUGUAUUGGUUUUGAGAUGUUGUAGUUCAGGAUUCCAUUGCUGACACUGUCUAUGCAGACCGGGCAAAAGGUUCCUCUCAAAAAUUCAGGUUGGGUGUUAGGUUCCCUUUUGAUCAUUUUCUAGGAUCAUUCUGAUGUUCUUCUAUGUAUCCAAGUUUUUAUCUUCUGUACCUCUCUUUUCCCUUUUGACUCAUUAGUUAUGUUCCCUUGUAAACAGUACAGGCAGAUUGUUUUAACUGAAAUUGAACCUGCCACAGUCUUUGGUCUUCUUAUAGGUAUCUACAGGACUUAUAUGAGGUCUUUGAGCUUUAGAGUCUACAUGGUCACCAGUUAGAAAUUGUGUCAGCAUUCUUAGUUACUUCUCCUUUUGGUGUUUUUGAACACAUUUCCCUGUGUUAGGACCAUUGAUACCAUGCAUAAAUGUCACCUUAUUAUAUCCUCUUCCUGAGAGUCUUUGACACUCUCUUGAAGCUCUAGCUGUAAUCCACAUUCUUCCUGGGGUUCCAGGUAUGUUUCUUCAUACCCAAUCUCUGUUUCAUCCUGUUUCUGUUUCAACCUCUUCCAAAGCUUGGUUGUCUUAUGAGACUACAAAUAGUUGGCUUGCUCUUCCUGGAGUUUUUUCUUUUGACAUUUUCCUGCAAUGUCAGGGCUCUUGAUUGCAUGCUGAUGGUGAGGCAACUAUGUAGAGUGACAAUGACAAUUGGAUUGCUCUGCUUUGGUGUCCACUGUCUGCUGUGGUGUAGCUUUCUGAUUUCCAAGUCAAUGUGGCAAUCAGGAGGACUCUUGGUGGGUGCUCUUGUGUUGUUUUCCUCUUGAUGGUUGAAGUAUUAUUUAAUCCCCAAACGUAUGUUUCAUUCAUACUGGACAUGUUGGUUCCAGGUCAGGAACAACUGGGUAAAGAGCUCAGAGUUCCUCUUUAUCUGUGGAGUUUGCUUCUGUUUCUUUUCAACAUCAGCCACUACUUUUCUUUUGGUGAAUCUACCAAGUUAACCUUGUCUGUAAAGUGAAAAAAGAACAGAGCCAGUCUAGAAAACUGCAUGCAGUUCACACACUGGGUUUUGUUUUGGGGAGAAGUGAGACUCCAGGGCCACUGUAGAUUCUAAAAUUGUGAAAUCACACUGAACUUUGGAGCCAGUGUUCUGAGGACACCAGAUGCUGGCAUUCCAGAAAUGAUAUGGGGCCAUUCCACUGUGUUCCUUGACUGUUGCCUUGGCCAUCUCUUCCAGGUUUCAUAGCUAGUUUUGAUGCAGUUUCAUAGUUCAUGAUAGCAUUUUAUGGUGAGUUGUUGCCCUGUACACUAUUAUCCAGGUCUAGGGUCUUAAAGUUUUGGUUUUUUUUUUACAUCCCUGGAGUUCCUGUUGGUCUGGGCUUGUCUCAAAGGCCAAAAGAAAGGACAAAAACAAAAAAAAAACCAAAGUCAAUCAGAACUCAAGCAUCAGAAUUAGCACUCAUUCUCCAGGAAGGGAGAAAAUAUUGGCAAGAGCAGUGGAUACACUUCAUUUUAUUAUUCUGAAAUAUAAUUUAGGAAUGAGUUAUGUAUCCUUGCAAGGAUUUACACUCAUGCCCCUUUCUUUCUCCUGAACAUAGGAUUUUACAAAGAGAUACAUUUCUUCUUUCUUCCUUUCCUCUUGUGGUUGUCUUUUCUUGAAAAUAGAUCCUACUCUUGUGGUCUUAUAAUAUUUUAUUACCUCAGCUGUUCCUACAAGGCAAUGGGUCCACAGAUAAACAGUUUAACUGCCAAUUUGUGCUUUGGUGUUAAACACUUGCUUGCUAGGAUGACUGUGUCCUCAGCUGGACAUCCGUUACAAAGUCAACCUUUGCCCAUACCAAGAAAGCAUAAAAGAUAAUAUGCCUCACCAAAAUUAUGUCUUUGUGGAUUUUUCCAUUUUUUAAAUAAUCUGCUUUUACUUUAUGUGUGUUAGUGUCUAGUCUGCAUGUGUAUCUGUGUGAGGUUGGAAAAUACCUUGGAGCUGUAAUUUCAGGCAGAUGUGAGCUGCCACAUGGGUGCAAAGAAUUGAACCUGGAUCCAGUGGAAGACGAGACAGUGAUCUUCACUGCUGUGUCAUCUCUCCAGCUCAGUUUUUACCUUUAUACUCCUUGGGGUAAGAAUACCCUGGGCCUUACCUAGCAUAUUCUCUCUGGUUUGGUCCUAGCCAUUCUCAUUUUAAUAAAAGGCCUCUAAUGAACACAAAUUGAAAUUUGAGUCACACUAGUGAACCUCUGAAUGACCUCAGAACUUCAGCAUUUGGAGGCACCAGUGAGAUCUGGGCAGUCAGAGAGUUGCCGCCAGUCUUCUUCUGACUGGCCUUGGUUCUCUGGAGACUCUCAGCCAAGGGCCUGAUGAAAUGGAACAGCCCAGGUUGGGGGAUUGGUGGGCAAGUACCCAAUACCUAACCUUCAUAGAUGAGUGAAUAUUCAGGUCUUAACGACUUACAGUCUGGAACAAAACAUAGAUCAGAGAGUCCACUGCUUGUGGAUGCUGCAGGUGAAUUCCUGGUCUGCAGCCCUAGAAAAGUGAGAGGCCAAGUAUUUGCAUGAUUCAACAGCAAGUUUUCAAAUGCGAAAUUUGUAAAAGGAGGCAUCUGAAAGCCUCUGGAAUUCUGGGUAAUGAUCCUGUCUGUGCUAGUGUGCAGUCCUGAUACUGGUAGGAAAGCUGGAAGCAGCAUUAUUUCUGGACUCAUAGGGACCCAGAGGACUCUGGGACUCUUGGUUGGGUCUGGGUGAUCAAUUCUGGGAGAAGGAAUGGCCUCCAUUUGUAGUACCUUGUCUGUCUUUCCUGUGUUCCUCUGCUUUUCUUAGUGUUACUUAUUAUUUUUGAAAAAAAUCAGAAGUGAUGUGUCAUAAGUUUUCAUACAGGAGACCCCUCUGACCCUGGUGAAUCCCUACUUUAAGGAGUUCUAGAGAAAUACUCAGAAGUAUGGAAACAGGUCUAUGUUAGAAAAACAAUUACCUUUUAUUCCUUUGAUUGGCCUUCUUUCCAUGUCUUCUUUUCAUGUGUCUAUCCAGCUGCAGGGCUGUUCAUUCUUUCUCUUAUUUACAGGUCACAACCUAUGGAUUAUAGUUAACUAGGGCAUUUGGUUGAACUGCCCUACAUUCUGACCUGAAUGUUCAUGUUAAAGGAUUCCCCAUCCAUGAUAAGGAAGUGGCAGUCAAUUCUCCCCUAAUGCUAACCCUUAAUUUCAGAAGAAAUACGUGAAAUCAAAGGAUAGGACAAAGUCUAUUCCACAGUCUUGUCAGUCUCCCCAGAAGAAGAGGAAAUGCUGCCACCUUAUAAAUUUGGAAUAUUGGCCACAUAGAAACCAUCCAGUUGAGACACUCCCUGGCCCUUCUCACUUUCCCCAGUCACUUGUGAAGUAACCUUAUUCCCCCAGGGCACCGAUAUGAUGGAGAGGGACAAUCCAGAGGAACAGGGGUGAUAUAAGAGAAAUCAACAGUCAUUGUUGAAACAUUUUCCUUUCUCUAAUAGUGAUCUACAUAGUUGGAAAUCUUCAAAACCUCCCGCUCACAGUGAAACCCCCAAAGCUUACAUUCUCUAUAGGAAAUGAUCUUUUAUAAAAGCAUGUCAACAUGGGCAUAGUAUCCGCAGAUAAUUCAAAACCAAGGAGAGGAAAAUAACUCAACAGCAAGCCUAGGAAGUGGUCAUUGAAAUGACAGGAAAUCAACAACUGGCCCUGUGGUUAUCCAAGAAGUUUUCCUCAAACAGCUGGGAUGGGACCUGAGUUCUGGUAAUGGUAGGUAGUCUUUCAACCAUGGUCACCAGGCUCUGUUAGGGGGGUGUCUCUAGGCAACACCCAGAUAGCUCACAAAUUUAUCUAAGGUAAGCCAGAGUUCAGAUGAGUCCCAUUUGCUUUUCUGGAGUGCCUCCUAGAGAUCUUUCAGAGUUACACCCCAAAUGACCUGAAGCCACAGGAAAUCAGAGGUCUAUUAAUAUGGCUUUUGUUUCCCAGUCAGUGCCAGAUAGAUGGUAGGCAGUAAAUUUAGAAACCAAAGGUUUUCAAGAAAGGUUUUGUCAGAGUUAGUUAAAAUUCUUUCCUGAGUAUACUACGGAGGGCAGACAGACUAGGAAACUAGCUAUGGUGUUGUUGGUCACCUACCAACCACAGGAUACAGGCAUGCUUUGAGGAAAUGCAAGGGAAAGGCAAAAAAUGAUGGUAGCAGACAUAAAGAAAGAGAACACUUUUGUGGAAAAAGUAAUGUGUUGGGCCUAAGAAAGGCUUGGAUGUGAGGCCUAGUGUAAGCUCCUGAGCCUGGCUAGAGUUUAGCGACCUGUCUCUAACCUGUAACCUCCACAUGGGGGUGACUUAGCCAGAUCUGAUGCAAGAUUGACCCUGCCUAGCUACCUGCCUGCUUGAUGGAAUACUCUUGGCUCUUAACUCCUCAGGUCACCUUACCCUAUCCCAAGAUUCCCAUCCCCUACCUCAGUCCUAUAUAAGUUCCUGCGUGUUGGAAUAAAUCGAGAUCCUGCUUUGACAGAC